UACUCCUACGGGAGGCAGCAGUGAGGAAUAUUGGUCAAUGGACGAGAGUCUGAACCAGCCAAGUAGCGUGCAGGAUGACGGCCCUAUGGGUUGUAAACUGCUUUUAUGCGGGGAUAAAGUUGGGGACGUGUCCCUUUUUGCAGGUACCGCAUGAAUAAGGACCGGCUAAUUCCGUGCCAGCAGCCGCGGUAAU
This 193-nucleotide ribosomal RNA is filed under the name uncultured bacterium. RNAcentral's name for it is "partial 16S ribosomal RNA". It matches the Rfam family "Bacterial small subunit ribosomal RNA", at positions 334 to 524 of the family's 1533-position model. The record is from RNAcentral.